Molecule: transfer RNA, 63 nt
Filed under: Globospongicola spinulatus
Lineage: Eukaryota; Metazoa; Arthropoda; Malacostraca; Decapoda; Spongicolidae
Description: tRNA-Cys
Rfam family: tRNA
About the family: Transfer RNA (tRNA) molecules are approximately 80 nucleotides in length. Their secondary structure includes four short double-helical elements and three loops (D, anti-codon, and T loops). Further hydrogen bonds mediate the characteristic L-shaped molecular structure. tRNAs have two regions of fundamental functional importance: the anti-codon, which is responsible for specific mRNA codon recognition, and the 3' end, to which the tRNAs corresponding amino acid is attached (by aminoacyl-tRNA synthetases). tRNAs cope with the degeneracy of the genetic code in two manners: having more than one tRNA (with a specific anti-codon) for a particular amino acid; and 'wobble' base-pairing, i.e. permitting non-standard base-pairing at the 3rd anti-codon position.
Source: RNAcentral
AGUCUUAUGGUGUAAUAAAACACAUUAGGUUGCAAAUCUAAAAAUGUAUAGAAGCUAGGACUU